Molecule: ribosomal RNA, 254 nt
Filed under: uncultured bacterium
Lineage: Bacteria
Description: partial 16S ribosomal RNA
Rfam family: Bacterial small subunit ribosomal RNA
Source: RNAcentral
AGGGGGCAAGCGUUAUCCGGAUUUACUGGGUGUAAAGGGAGCGUAGACGGCAAUGCAAGCCAGAUGUGAAAGCCCGGGGCUCAACCCCGGGACUGCAUUUGGAACUGUGUAGCUGGAGUGUCGGAGAGGCAGGCGGAAUUCCUAGUGUAGCGGUGAAAUGCGUAGAUAUUAGGAGGAACACCAGUGGCGAAGGCGGCCUGCUGGACGAUGACUGACGUUGAGGCUCGAAAGCGUGGGGAGCAAACAGGAUUAGA